This 230-nucleotide ribosomal RNA is filed under the name uncultured Staphylococcus sp. RNAcentral's name for it is "partial 16S ribosomal RNA". It matches the Rfam family "Bacterial small subunit ribosomal RNA", at positions 109 to 334 of the family's 1533-position model. The record is from RNAcentral. Lineage: Bacteria; Bacillati; Bacillota; Bacilli; Caryophanales; Staphylococcaceae.
AGUAACACGUGGAUAACCUACCUAUAAGACUGGGAUAACUUCGGGAAACCGGAGCUAAUACCGGAUAAUAUUUUGAACCGCAUGGUUCAAAAGUGAAAGACGGUCUUGCUGUCACUUAUGAUGGAUCCGCGCUGCAUUAGCUAGUUGGUAAGGUAACGGCUUACCAAGGCAACGAUGCAUAGCCGACCUGAGAGGGUGAUCGGCCACACUGGAACUGAGACACGGUCCAG